AUUUUAUAUUAUACUUAUAUUUUAACUAUCAAAUCUCCAUAACCAAUUGAAUCCGCCUGACUGAGAUUUACAAGAUAACCAUAGCUUGCUUCAAGCCGAUAAUCUCCGUGGAAUCGACCCUUACUUACGUAAAGUAUUACUGGGACGACCCAGUGCACGUGCUGGUUAGUUGUGCGGAAUUGCAAAACGGUGAUUGUGAUUUUGUGCACCAAGUUUUUGGCGCCGUUGCCGGGGA
This is a non-coding RNA of Arachis ipaensis, 235 nucleotides long. The record is from RefSeq and is a predicted model, not a curated record. Lineage: Eukaryota; Viridiplantae; Streptophyta; Magnoliopsida; Fabales; Fabaceae.